Molecule: ribosomal RNA, 508 nt
Filed under: uncultured bacterium
Lineage: Bacteria
Description: partial 16S ribosomal RNA
Rfam family: Bacterial small subunit ribosomal RNA
Source: RNAcentral
UGGGGAAUUUUGGACAAUGGGCGAAAGCCUGAUCCAGCAAUGCCGCGUGUGUGAAGAAGGCCUUCGGGUUGUAAAGCACUUUUGUCCGGAAAGAAAUCCUUGGCUCUAAUACAGUCGGGGGAUGACGGUACCGGAAGAAUAAGCACCGGCUAACUACGUGCCAGCAGCCGCGGUAAUACGUAGGGUGCAAGCGUUAAUCGGAAUUACUGGGCGUAAAGCGUGCGCAGGCGGUUUGCUAAGACCGAUGUGAAAUCCCCGGGCUCAACCUGGGAACUGCAUUGGUGACUGGCAGGCUAGAGUAUGGCAGAGGGGGGUAGAAUUCCACGUGUAGCAGUGAAAUGCGUAGGAGAUGUGGAGGAAUACCGAUGGCGAAGGCAGCCCCCUGGGCCAAUACUGACGUUCAUGCACGAAAGCGUGGGGGAGCAAACAGGAUUAGAUACCCUGGUAGUCCGCGCCCUAAACGAUGUCAACUAGUUGUUGGGGACUUCAUUUCCUUAGUAACGUAGCU